UUUAUAAUAGGGCGCUGUAUUUUGAACCCUAAACUGUAUAAAAUUGAUGUGAACCCUGUUUCCUUUGCCGGUCCUGCUGCUGUUAUUGCCUACCAUUAUACAGCAUGUUAUAAGCGAAAUUGCAUGCUAAAAGUCAGACGUUUUAGAAAGGGCAUAUUGUUUUCCACCAGCCCCGCUGCUGCACGUGUCUUCAACGUUAAUUAGCUGCUAGCAACAAACACCAACUUCGAGGUGGACACCUGCUGCUUUCAGCGACUCUUAAGGAAUUAUUCUCAACUGCCAGGACCACUGCUUCACUUCAACAAGCAGUUACAGCUGUCAGCAGUGAUCUCACAUAAUGGAGAAGUCACGCAGUGUCGCUCCGCUGCCGGAAAUCAGCCCCAAGACAAUCGGGCUCAAUGGAGGUGGAUGCAGCAGGUCGGGGGGAGAUCAGCUCCUGAUUAGGAAGCUUUCUGACAGAAUGGACGGGAAGAACUCAUUAUUGGACUUAUAGUAAUAUUCAGGAAUAAGUCAGCCUCUUUGUUGAUAGGAAAAGGACUCUUGAGCAAUUUGCAACAUCGGAAAUAAUCAGUCUUCAAUGAGUCUGGGGAAACAUUCGCAUCACAAGCGUGCAUGGGAUAACACAUUCAUUUACAAAAUCAAGAUGGAAGGGGCUUGUUUACCAAGGUUAUUGUAGGGUUGAUGUUUCAUUUGGUUUCAGUGUGGUGUCAUCACCAGAUAAGUGACUGUUGUUUCUUUUGCACUGGAGUAAUGGAUAGUUCUACACCUAUUACACUGUAACCAAAGUGAAAGUGUGCUGGUAAUAUGGAAAGUUCUUUGUUGAGCAAUGUGACUAUAGUUCUGUAAUACCCGUGGAUGUUGAGGGCUUUCUUAUACUGUAUCUCUGUGUGUAGUUGAAGGAUAUAGAAGUCUGUAUGAAUAACACUAACAAUAAAACUUAAAAUACUA
Long non-coding RNA from Perca flavescens (yellow perch), 948 nucleotides. RefSeq lists it as uncharacterized. The transcript is spliced from 2 exons. Lineage: Eukaryota; Metazoa; Chordata; Actinopteri; Perciformes; Percidae. The record is from RefSeq and is a predicted model, not a curated record.